CCGGCGACCGGCGCACGGGUGAGUAACACGUAUGCAAUCCACCUGUAACGAGGGGGUAACCGGAGAAUCCGACUAAUACCCAUAAUAUGGGCGCUCCGCAUGGAGAGUUCAUUAAAGAGAGCAAUUUUGGUUACAGACGAGCAUGCGCUCCAUUAGCCAGUUGGCGGGGUAACGGCCCACCAAGGCGACGAUGGAUAGGGGUUCUGGGAGGAAGGUCCCCCACAUUGGAACUGAGACACGGUCCAA
Molecule: ribosomal RNA, 246 nt
Filed under: uncultured bacterium
Lineage: Bacteria
Description: partial 16S ribosomal RNA
Rfam family: Bacterial small subunit ribosomal RNA
Source: RNAcentral